ACAACUUCACGCUCUUCCUCAUCUCGCUGCCACCCUCUGCAACCCGCGCGAUUCUCCUUGUGUUUCUGUUUCUAGUUGUCUUGUGCGGAGCUCUGUGUCCAUCGUCACCCCCUUCCAGUAAUUCGACUUCCUUUUUCCUCAUAUAACACCCUCUUGACGCUCAGUAGUCAUGGCUCCUCCAACUUCUGAGACGGCUUCUCCCAUUGGAAUUGCCAAUCUUCCAAAUCAACGGCACAAAAUCGUUGCCAAACGGGGAGCUGCCUUUACUAUUAUGGUUGCUGGGGAAUCUGGAUUGGGCAAAACGACAUUCAUUAACACGCUUUUCUCGACCACAAUCAAGAACUAUGCCGACCACAAGCGCCGACAUGCCAAGCAGGUUGAUAAAACCGUAGAGAUUGAGAUUACAAAAGCUGAACUCGAGGAGAAGUUCUUCAAAGUUCGCUUGACGGUCAUUGAUACCCCCGGAUUCGGCGAUUAUGUGAACAACCGCGACUCGUGGAUGCCUAUCAUCGAGUUCCUUGAUGACCAGCACGAAUCCUACAUGCUUCAGGAGCAACAGCCUCGUCGUGUUGAUAAGAUUGACCUCCGUGUCCACGCUUGCUUGUACUUCAUCAGGCCAACCGGUCAUACCCUGAAGCCUCUGGAUAUCGAAGUCAUGAAACGUCUGAGCUCGCGUGUCAAUCUGAUCCCAGUGGUUGCUAAAGCCGAUACAUUGAGCCCAUCUGACCUUGCCCGCUUCAAGCAACGCAUCCGCGCCGUUAUCGAGGCCCAGGGCAUCAAAAUUUACCAGCCGCCUGUUGAGGAGGAUGAUGAGCACGCCGCACAGCAUGCUCGUAGUCUGAUGGCUGCCAUGCCAUUCUCCGUCAUUGGUUCCGAGAAAGACGUCAAGACCAGUGAUGGCCGCAUCGUUAAGGGUCGCCAGUAUGCUUGGGGUGUAGCUGAGGUUGAGAAUGAGGAGCACUGUGAUUUCAAAAAAUUACGCUCCAUUCUCAUUCGUACCCACAUGCUUGAUCUCAUUCACACCACUGAAGAAUCCCACUACGAGGCCUAUCGCGCCUUGCAAAUGGAGACGAGAAAGUUCGGCGAGGCCCGCCCCAGAAAGCUCGACAACCCCAAGUUCAAGGAGGAAGAAGAGAACCUCAGAAAGCGCUUCACCGAACAAGUCAAGGUCGAAGAACAGAGGUUCAGACAGUGGGAGCAGAGACUCAUCUCCGAGAGAGAUCGUCUCAACAAGGAUCUGGAAAGCACUCAUGCUGCGUAUGUUUUUUUAAUCCUUCCCCAGUAUACAUGGCUACGUCGUCAAACAACUCGAACAGGAACUCGAGCAGAUGCAAGGCUCCGCUGUCCGCAGCCAUGGCCGGCGUUAAUCUUGGAUAGGUAUAUUGAUGUUUGCCGUUUGGUUGCGAUGGAGGUAGAUGGAGGUAGAUGGCUGUCCGUUUCGAAUAUAGGCUUUAACACGUCUGAGCCCUAAAAUUAUCGACCUAUCAAAUCCCGGUUUUAUUUGCGACCUUUUGGGGGUUUGUUUUCUUUUUCGAACCCCUUAUCCUUUAAUCAUUUUAUUCGUGUUUCUUUUUCUGUUUUUCUCCCACAUUCGACUGAUACCUAGCGUAUUUUCUACCUCCAAGACCCGAAAUAGUUUCGUUUGUUAUACGUAGCGAUUUUUUUUGUUACUUUAUUAUUUGAAAUAUCCAACUUUAAUUCUACAACUUUUUUUCCCCUUUGUAUGAUUCAAUUUCGAGAUCUCCAAAUCAAAUAAAAACCACUGGGUUCGUCGAAUUUAGUUUCCCGUGUCUGGUUUGUUAUAAAUAAAUUAAAUAAGCUCCAACCAGU
Molecule: small RNA, 1830 nt
Filed under: Histoplasma capsulatum
Lineage: Eukaryota; Fungi; Ascomycota; Eurotiomycetes; Onygenales; Ajellomycetaceae
Also listed under: 1 other name
Description: hypothetical RNA
Source: RNAcentral